CCAACCCUAAAAUCUUUUCCCCCUACAUCCACUCAUCCCUUCCACUCCCUCGACAACGGUGGCGGCGGCCCCCUCUGGUGGCGGAGGAGGAGGGGGAGAUGGUGGCACGGCGGCGACCUUCCCCCCUCGUCAUCCUGGAUCCCACUAGACCCGAGGCGUGCGGGUGCGGCGGCGACCUGCAAGGGAAGGGCGACGCUCGAAUCGAUCCAGCGCCAUGGAUCGGUCCCUACGGGAGAAAGAGAAAAUGAGGGAUAGAGAAGGAAGGAGAGGAAGGAGAAAGAGAGAGGAAAGAGGAGAGGGAGGUGCAGCGUUGACCGAUGGCUCGCGCGGUGGUGCGGUAGACGACGGCCUCAGCGGGUGUGCGACGACACCACGCAGCUCCUGUGCCGCGCAACCCUCUCCUUGCAGGCUCAACAGGAGGUUCCCAAGCCGGCUCGGGCCGCUGCUACCUCUUCCUCGCCGCCCAAUAGGUCGCCACUCUGGGGGAGCAGGGUAGCAUCGAGUCCACAGGCUGGGGUGGAGGCCUUCCUAACUCGGACUGUGCGUCCUCCUCUUCGCCCGUCAUCGCCCUGGCCAGCUGAGCACCAACCCGAUGGCUCCGGCAUCCGAUGCCAACACAACGAGGUUAUACUCCAAUCAAACAUGUGAAUAUUUACCAGAGUGCUUCAAGAUCGAUCUGAUGAUCCACUACCGCUCUGCUGUUAUGACUAAUUUGGAUGGGAAUGGUGAUUUCAUGGUUAGUUAUGAUUACUUGGUUCUUGCUCUUGGAGUUACUGUGAAUACAUUCAACACUCCUGGUGUGAUGGAGCAUUCCCACUUUCUGAAGGUAGUGGAGGAUGCCCAAAAGAUUCGGAAGAGCAUGAUAGACUGCUUUGAAAAGGCGUCACUUCCUAACCUCAGUGAAGAGGAGAAAAGGAAGAUCCUUCACUUUGUGAUUAUCGGUGGUGGACCUACUGGGGUUGAAUUUGCUGUGGAGUUGCAUGAUUUUCUUGUCGAAGAUCUGGUGAAGCUAUAUCCUGCAAUUCAAGAAAACUCUCAACUCCUACUUGCGCUCCACCUCUUCCUCCUUUUCAUCGCUCAAUAGGAGGCAACUCAUCUUUCCGUGCAGCGGACCGCGUCCUCAGCGGGUCGGCGACGACGGUUGCAGCUGGUGCAUGAUGGCGAUUCCAACGUCAACAGGAAUCUGCAACUUGUUAGACUUCUUUGCAACCCCAACAAGUCCCUCAUCUUCUUUGUCUGCACAUAUGCAUGAUUUCUAUGAUUGGAAUCAGAUAGCACUAACUAUGUGUCAGACUGCUAAUAUUUAUUUGCUUUAUGAUCCUUGAAGAGUACUCUACGCUCAUACAUGAUCCCACAUAUUCUAGGUAUAAUGAUACUAUCUUUAGUGUUCUGUUCACGGGAAUUUGACAAGUCACUGCUUAAGAUUUCUUAACUUUUGUACAGAUGCUUUCUUGAGGCUUUGGCUAAAAAUUUGUGGUGUACGUCACUCAUUAGGUUGAGUUUUUACCAGUUGCUGAUCUUAUUAUUCUGGUUAUAUUGUCAUGAGUAAAAAAAUAGUGCACUUCUUUUUGAGGAAUCUUCAUGCAUAUUUGUUGCAUCCUUACAAAGUAAUUGUAGUUUAGGUAACUAUGACGGGCUAAAUCCUUAAGCUGGGACAUACAACAAAAUACUUAUUUUAUUGGAGGAGUUUAUGGAACUGGGUAGUGCUCAUCAGGAUGCUCUUGCAGCAAUUGACACAAUCGAUGUGGCUAAUGAACCAGUUCCUAUCUUUAGACAGUCACAUCCAUGUUCGUACUUUUAGAAUAGUUGUUGCAACGGGGAAGAGCAUUUCUGCAAUAGCAAGAUAUCAGGACCCAAUGGGCAUAGGCCGAACCAACCACCAUCACUAUUGCUUCAGGAUUAGAUAGCCAACUUCCACUCAUGAGCCUGUCGAGUCAAGUUUCAGACGAUCAUGUAUCCCCUUGAUAUUCACUGGAUGGAAUCCUCUAUUUUACUCAGACUGAACCUUCUACAAACAUCGGAAAAGCAACAGUAAUAAAGAUGGACAGAAAUUCCAAAAAUAAGGUGUUUUUUUAUGGAUGUACCUGGUUGCGAUGAAGCUAAACAAGAAAUAAUGCUAUCACUUAUUACCUUUGUCCUUCAAAUUUGAGUAUAGGCCUGCGAAAUAAUGAAUAUUUGUGUCUCAUUGCUCCAGCAUGGUCAAUAAAGAUAUGUUGACCCAGGAAAUGUGGGUUUAUCAUAGGUCCUACUGUAUACGUUGAUAUAUGAAAUAUGACAUUUACGGUUAUAUGCUAUCACUUAUUGCCUUUGUCCUUUGCAUUGAGUAUAGGCCUGUGAAAUAAUGGUGUAUUUGUGUGUUGAUUCGUCUGUUUUCCUUCAUGUUCUGGUUCUAAGGUACUAGGACAGACCCAGAGUUAUUUGUAAAAAAAUGUGUUCCAAUGUACCAAUAUUUUGUAUCCUUUCUAAUGCUUAAAAAAGAGGCCAAUAAUUCUUUUAGAAUAUGUAAUAUAUGACAUGUGUAACGCACCUUAAGAGACUACUAAGUUAUCCUGUAUAAUUGGCACGCCCUACUUUUGUAGUAAUAAAUAUAUCAGGUGCUGCUCCAUACAGGUGAUACAUUGCAUUUACCAUAGUAUUUGAUUACAUAUGAUAACAUAAAAUCUGUUUUUUCCUUAGCGGUUCGGCACAUUAGUGCAUAGAAACAGAGUACAGGCAAAUUGAUUAGAUGCAUUAGUUAAGAACACUGAUUUUUUUGGAAAGCUUCAUCAUGACAUCGAUAUUGGUUUCGCCUUACUACCACUCAGAGGUUGGAUGGAGCAUUGAGGAUUUCAGGCUUGGGGUGGCCACGUGUUGCAGGAUAGCAGGAAGAGUUGGAUGUGUUCUGCAGAGACGAGGUGAUCAAUGUCGUUGCCGCCAGGUUCCUAUCUUUAGACAGUCACAUCCACGUUCGUACUUUUAGAAUAGUUGUUGCAGAGCAUUUUUGCAAUAGCAAGAUAUCAGGACCCAAUGGGCAUAGGCCGAACCAACCACCAUCACUAUUGCUUCAGGAUUAGAUAGCCAACAUCCACUCACGAGCCUGUCGAGUCAAGUUUCAGACGAUCAUGUAUCCCCUUGAUAUUCACUGGAUGGAAUCCCCUGUUUUACUUAGACUGAACCUUCUACAAACAUCGGAAAAGCAACAGUAAUAAAGAUGGACAGAAAUUCCAAAAAUAAGGUGUUUUUUAUGGAUGUACCUGGUUGCGAUGAAGCUAAACAAGAAAUAAUUCUAUCACUUAUUACCUUUGUCCUUCAAAUUUGAGUAUAGGCCUGCGAAAUAAUGAAUAUUUGUGUCUCAUUGCUCCAGCAUGGUCAAUAAAGAUAUGUUGACCCAGGAAAUGUGGGUUUAUCAUAGGUCCUACUGUAUACGUUGAUAUAUGAAAUAUGAUAUUUACGGUUAUAUGCUAUCACUUAUUGCCUUUGUCCUUUGCAUUGAGUAUAGGCCUGUGAAAUAAUGGUGUAUUUGUGUGUUGAUUCGUCUGUUUUCCUUCAUGUUCUGGUUCUAAGGUACCAGGACAGACCCAGAGUUAUUUGUAAAAAAAUGCGUUCCAAUGUACCAAUAUUUUGUAUCCUUUCUAAUGCUUAAAAAAGAGGCGAAUAAUUCUUUUAUAAUAUGUAAUAUAUGACAUGUGUAACACACCUUAAGAGACUACUAAGUUAUCCUGUAUAAUUGGCACGCCCUACUUUUGUAGUAAUAAAUAUAUCAGGUGCUGCUCCAUACAGGUGAUACAUUGCAUUUACCAUAGUAUUUGAUUACAUAUGAUAACAUAAAAUCUGUUUUUUCCUUAGCGGUUCGGCACAUUAGUACAUAGAAACAGCGUACAGGCAAAUUGAUUAGAUGCAUUAGUUAAGAACACUGAUUUUUUUGGAAAGCUUCAUCAUGACAUCGAUAUUGGUUUCGCCUUACUACCACUCAGAGGUUGGAUGGAGCAUCGAGGAUUUCAGGCUUGGGGUGGCCACGUGUUGCAGGAUAGCAGGAAGAGUUGGAUGUGUUCUGCAGAGACGAGGUGAUCAAUGUCGUUGCCGCCAGGUUCCUAUCUUUAGACAGUCACAUCCACGUUCGUACUUUUAGAAUAGUUGUUGCAACGGGGAAGAGCAUUUUUGCAAUAGCAAGAUAUCAGGACCCAAUGGGCAUAGGCCGAACCAACCACCAUCACUAUUGCUUCAGGAUUAGAUAGCCAACUUCCACUCACGAGCCUCUCGAGUCAAGUUUCAGACGAUCAUGUAUCCCCUUGAUAUUCACUGGAUGGAAUCCCCUAUUUUACUCAGACUGAACCUUCUACAAACAUCAGAAAAGCAACAGUAAUAAAGAUGGACAGAAAUUCCAAAAAUAAGGUGUUUUUUUAUGGAUGUACCUGGUUGCGAUGAAGCUAAACAAGAAAUAAUGCUAUCACUUAUUACCUUUGUCCUUCAAAUUUGAGUAUAGGCCUGCGAAAUAAUGAAUAUUUGUGUCUCAUUGCUCCAGCAUGGUCAAUAAAGAUAUGUUGACCCAGGAAAUGUGGGUUUAUCAUAGGUCCUACUGUAUACGUUGAUAUAUGAAAUAUGACAUUUACGGUUAUAUGCUAUCACUUAUUGCCUUUGUCCUUUGCAUUGAGUAUAGGCCUGUGAAAUAAUGGUGUAUUUGUGUGUUGAUUCGUCUGUUUUCCUUCAUGUUCUGGUUCUAAGGUACCAGCACAGACCCAGAGUUAUUUGCAAAAAAAUGCGUUCCAAUGUACCAAUAUUUUGUAUCCUUUCUAAUGCUUAAAAAAGAGGCGAAUAAUUAUUUUAUAAUAUGUAAUAUAUGACAUGUGUAACGCACCUUAAGAGACUACUAAGUUAUCCUGUAUAAUUGGCACGCCCUACUUUUGUAGUAAUAAAUAUAUCAGGUGCUGCUCCAUACAGGUGAUACAUUGCAUUUACCAUAGUAUUUGAUUACAUAUGAUAACAUAAAAUCUGUUUUUUCCUUAGCGGUUCGGCACAUUAGUGCAUAGAAACAGAGUACAGGCAAAUUGAUUAGAUGCAUUAGUUAAGAACACUGAUUUUUUUGGAAAGCUUCAUCAUGACAUCGAUAUUGGUUUCGCCUUACUACCACUCCGAGGUUGGAUGGAGCAUCGAGGAUUUCAGGCUUGGGGUGGCCACGUGUUGCAGGAUAGCAGGAAGAGUUGGAUGUGUUCUGCAGAGACGAGGUGAUCAAUGUCGUUGCCGCCAGGUUCCUAUCUUUAGACAGUCACAUCCACGUUCGUACUUUUAGAAUAGUUGUUGCAACGGGGAAGAGCAUUUUUGCAAUAGCAAGAUAUCAGGACCCAAUGGGCAUAGGCCGAACCAACCACCAUCACUAUUAUUUCAGGAUUAGAUAGCCAACUUCCACUCAUGAGCCUGUCGAGUCAAGUUUCAGACGAUCAUGUAUCCCCUUGAUAUUCACUGGAUGGAAUCCCCGGUUUUACUCAGACUGAACCUUCUACAAACAUCGGAAAAGCAACAGUAAUAAAGAUGGACAGAAAUUCCAAAAAUAAGGUGUUUUUUUAUGGAUGUACCUGGUUGCGAUGAAGCUAAACAAGAAAUAAUGCUAUCACUUAUUACCUUUGUCCUUCAAAUUUGAGUAUAGGCCUGCGAAAUAAUGAAUAUUUGUGUCUCAUUGCUCCAUCAUGGUCAAUAAAGAUAUGUUGACCCAGGAAAUGUGGGUUUAUCAUAGGUCCUACUGUAUACGUUGAUAUAUGAAAUAUGACAUUUACGGUUAUAUGCUAUCACUUAUUGCCUUUGUCCUUUGCAUUGAGUAUAGGCCUGUGAAAUAAUGGUGUAUUUGUGUGUUGAUUCGUCUGUUUUCCUUCAUGUUCUGGUUCUAAGGUACCAGGACAGACCCAGAGUUAUUUGCAAAAAAAUGCGUUCCAAUGUACCAAUAUUUUGUGUCCUUUCUAAUGCUUAAAAAAGAGGCGAAUAAUUCUUUUAGAAUAUGUAAUAUAUGACAUGUGUAACGCACCUUAAGAGACUACUAAGUUAUCCUGUAUAAUUGGCACGCCCUACUUUUGUAGUAAUAAAUAUAUCAGGUGCUGCUCCAUACAGGUGAUACAUUGCAUUUACCAUAGUAUUUGAUUACAUAUGAUAACAUAAAAUCUGUUUUUUCCUUAGCGGUUCGGCACAUUAGUGCAUAGAAACAGAGUACAGGCAAAUUGAUUAGAUGCAUUAGUUAAGAACACUGAUUUUUUUGGAAAGCUUCAUCAUGACAUCGAUAUUGGUUUCGCCUUACUACCACUCAGAGGUUGGAUGGAGCAUCGAGGAUUUCAGGCUUGGGGUGGCCACGUGUUGCAGGAUAGCAGGAAGAGUUGGAUGUGUUCUGCAGAGACGAGGUGAUCAAUGUCGUUGCCGCCAGGUUCCUAUCUUUAGACAGUCACAUCCACGUUCGUACUUUUAGAAUAGUUGUUGCAACGGGGAAGAGCAUUUUUGCAAUAGCAAGAUAUCAGGACCCAAUGGGCAUAGGCCGAACCAACCACCAUCACUAUUACUUCAGGAUUAGAUAGCCAACUUCCACUCAUGAGCCUGUCGAGUCAAGUUUCAGACUGAUCAUGUAUCCCCUUGAUAUUCACUGGAUGGAAUCCCCUGUUUUACUCAAACUGAACCUUCUACAAACAUCGGAAAAGCAACAGUAAUAAAGAUGGACAGAAAUUCCAAAAAUAAGGUGUUUUUUAUGGAUGUAGCUGGUUGCGAUGAAGCUAAACAAGAAAUAAUGCUAUCACUUAUUACCUUUGUCCUUCAAAUUUGAGUAUAGGCCUGCGAAAUAAUGAAUAUUUGUGUCUCAUUGCUCCAGCAUGGUCAAUAAAGAUAUGUUGACCCAGGAAAUGUGGGUUUAUCAUAGGUCCUACUGUAUACGUUGAUAUAUGAAAUAUGACAUUUCCGGUUAUAUGCUAUCACUUAUUGCCUCUGUCCUUUGCAUUGAGUAUAGGCCUGUGAAAUAAUGGUGUAUUUGUGUGUUGAUUCGUUUGUUUUCCUUCAUGUUCUGGUUCUAAGGUACCAGGACAAACCCAGAGUUAUUUGUAAAAAGUGCUUUCCAAUGUACCAAUAUUUUGUAUCCUUUCUAAUGCUUAAAAAAGAGGCGAAUAAUUCUUUUAGAAUAUGUAAUAUCCGACAUGUGUAACGCACCUUAAGAGACUACUAAGUUAUCCUGUAUAAUUGGCACGCCCUACUUUUGUAGUAAUAAAUAUAUCAUGUGCUGCUCCAUACAGGUGAUACAUUGCAUUUACCAUAGUAUUUGAUUACAUAUGAUAACAUAAAAUCUGUUUUUUCCUUAGCGGUUCGGCACACUUAGUGCAUAGAAACAGAGUACAGGAAAAUUGAUUAGAUGCAUUAGUUAAGAACACUGAUUUUUUUGGAAAGCUUCAUCAUGACAUCGAUAUUGGUUUCGCCUUACUGCCACUCAGAGGUUGGAUGGAGCAUCGAGGAUUUCAGGCUUGGGGUGGCCACGUGUUGCAGGAUAGCAGGAAGAGUUGGAUGUGUUCUGCAGAGACCAGGUGAUCAAUGUCGUUGCCCCAGGACAAAGGAGAGGCAGGUACAACAGCAGGAGAAGAAUGCAAUGAGGUGCGAUCUUCUGUUCGAUGCCAAGGGCUUGUCCGGCAGUGAUUUCCUUGGGAUGAUCUAGAUGAUAUAACAAAAGGAUUAUAUAUGCGUUUGUGUGCUUCAGAAAAGGUACAUUUAGAAGUCACAAUAGAGAAGGUUCGUAGCCUUGGCUCCAAAGCUUCAAGCUCUUAUAGAAAUUAGAACUAAGGGCCUUUUAAAAUGAGUCCUACAUAAUAGUGUUGUUCAGUAGGAUGCAGAAUUUUUGUUUGUCUGAUCGUCUAUCCUUGGUGCUGAUUUACGUACUGAUUUCAUCAUCAUAUGACUACAAUAAAGAAGUUGUGUGUAUAAAUAUUUCUAACUGCUGAUACUUUGCAUCAGUGAUUUCAAUUCUGUUGUCCCUCCUUAA
Triticum aestivum (bread wheat) is the source of this 7969-nucleotide long non-coding RNA. RefSeq lists it as uncharacterized. The record is from RefSeq and is a predicted model, not a curated record. The transcript has 21 exons. NCBI's taxonomy places the organism in Eukaryota, Viridiplantae, Streptophyta, Magnoliopsida, Poales, Poaceae.